GGCGAUGGAUAACAGGUUGAUAUUCCUGUACCACCUAUAAUCGUUUUAAUCGAUGGGGGGACGCAGUAGGAUAGGCGAAGCGUGCGAUUGGAUUGCACGUCUAAGCAGUAAGGCUGGGUAUUAGGCAAAUCCGGUACUCGUUAAGGCUGAGCUGUGAUGGGGAGAAGACAUUGUGUCUUCGAGUCGUUGAUUUCACACUGCCGAGAAAAGCCUCUAGAUAGAAAAUAGGUGCCCGUACCGCAAACCGACACAGGUAGUCAAGAUGAGAAUUCUAAGGUGAGCGAGCGAACUCUCGUUAAGGAACUCGGCAAAAUGACCCCGUAACUUCGGGAGAAGGGGUGCUCUUUAGGGUUAACGCCCAGAAGAGCCGCAGUGAAUAGGCCCAAGCGACUGUUUAUCAAAAACACAGGUCUCUGCUAAACCGUAAGGUGAUGUAUAGGGGCUGACGCCUGCCCGGUGCUGGAAGGUUAAGAGGAGUGGUUAGCUUCUGCGAAGCUACGAAUCGAAGCCCCAGUAAACGGCGGCCGUAACUAUAACGGUCCUAAGGUAGCGAAAUUCCUUGUCGGGUAAGUUCCGACCCGCACGAAAGGCGUAACGAUUUGGGCACUGUCUCAACGAGAGACUCGGUGAAAUCAUAGUACCUGUGAAGAUGCAGGUUACCCGCGACAGGACGGAAAGACCCCGUGGAGCUUUACUGUAGCCUGAUAUUGAAAUUCGGCACAGCUUGUACAGGAUAGGUAGGAGCCUUUGAAACGUGAGCGCUAGCUUACGUGGAGGCGCUGGUGGGAUACUACCCUAGCUGUGUUGGCUUUCUAACCCGCACCACUUAUCGUGGUGGGAGACAGUGUCAGGCGGGCAGUUUGACUGGGGCGGUCGCCUCCUAAAAGGUAACGGAGGCGCUCAAAGGUUCCCUCAGAAUGGUUGGAAAUCAUUCAUAGAGUGUAAAGGCAUAAGGGAGCUUGACUGCGAGACCUACAAGUCGAGCAGGGUCGAAAGACGGACUUAGUGAUCCGGUGGUUCCGCAUGGAAGGGCCAUCGCUCAACGGAUAAAAGCUACCCCGGGGAUAACAGGCUUAUCUCCCCCAAGAGUUCACAUCGACGGGGAGGUUUGGCACCUCGAUGUCGGCUCAUCGCAUCCUGGGGCUGUAGUCGGUCCCAAGGGUUGGGCUGUUCGCCCAUUAAAGCGGUACGCGAGCUGGGUUCAGAACGUCGUGAGACAGUUCGGUCCCUAUCCGUCGUGGGCGUAGGAAAUUUGAGAGGAGCUGUCCUUAGUACGAGAGGACCGGGAUGGACAUACCUCUGGUGUACCAGUUGUCGUGCCAACGGCAUAGCUGGGUAGCUAUGUGUGGACGGGAUAAGUGCUGAAAGCAUCUAAGCAUGAAGCCCCCCUCAAGAUGAGAUUUCCCAACUUCGGUUAUAAGAUCCCUCAAAGAUGAUGAGGUUAAUAGGUUCGAGGUGGAAGCAUGGUGACAUGUGGAGCUGACGAAUACUAAUCGAUCGAAGACUUAAUCAA
This 1513-nucleotide ribosomal RNA is filed under the name Staphylococcus aureus. RNAcentral's name for it is "partial 23S ribosomal RNA". It matches the Rfam family "Bacterial large subunit ribosomal RNA", at positions 1414 to 2925 of the family's 2925-position model. Lineage: Bacteria; Bacillati; Bacillota; Bacilli; Caryophanales; Staphylococcaceae. The record is from RNAcentral.